This 473-nucleotide ribosomal RNA is filed under the name uncultured bacterium. RNAcentral's name for it is "bacterial SSU rRNA". It matches the Rfam family "Bacterial small subunit ribosomal RNA", at positions 8 to 475 of the family's 1533-position model. The record is from RNAcentral.
AGAGUUUGAUGGUGGCUCAGAUUGAACGCUGGCGGCAGGCUUAACACAUGCAAGUCGAGCGGGGAAGAGUAGCUUGCUACUUAACCUAGCGGCGGACGGGUGAGUAAUGCUUAGGAAUCUGCCUAUUAGUGGGGGACAACAUCUCGAAAGGGAUGCUAAUACCGCAUACGUCCUACGGGAGAAAGCAGGGGACCUUCGGGCCUUGCGCUAAUAGAUGAGCCUAAGUCGGAUUAGCUAGUUGGUGGGGUAAAGGCCUACCAAGGCGACGAUCUGUAGCGGGUCUGAGAGGAUGAUCCGCCACACUGGGACUGAGACACGGCCCAGACUCCUACGGGAGGCAGCAGUGGGGAAUAUUGGACAAUGGGGGGAACCCUGAUCCAGCCAUGCCGCGUGUGUGAAGAAGGCCUUUUGGUUGUAAAGCACUUUAAGCGAGGAGGAGGCUACCGAGAUUAAUACUCUUGGAUAGUGGACGU